UUCACUCUGCAACGUGUCAUAAAUACAUAAAACGCGUAUUUAAAGAAAUAUCUAACUCCAAGUUUAAUUGACAAAUGUAAGCGCUCAAGUUUAUCAACAAACAGAAUCAUUGGUUAAGUGUCCAUAUCUAAAUGUUUGGAAGUUAAAUGUUACCUACUUUUAUCAUCUUAAAACAGUGUUUACGAGAAAGAAUAUAUGAUGCAACCUCAUGUUUUAUUAUCAAAU
Molecule: long non-coding RNA, 225 nt
Filed under: Mytilus galloprovincialis (Mediterranean mussel)
Lineage: Eukaryota; Metazoa; Mollusca; Bivalvia; Mytilida; Mytilidae
Source: RNAcentral